CGGUUCUCAGUUCUGAAGGAGACACAAAAGAGAGAAAACCUUCGUUGGAUUGAUCGUCAAUAUUUGAGGCAUUUCGGAGUGAGUGUGUCAAGGGAAUUGGAUGGGAUUCUGUGUGGCAGGAUCGUUGGAUUCAAAUGUUAAUAUCAUGCUGAGACCGAGAGUGCGAAGCUGUUCUAAUGAAGCAAGAAUCAGGUCCCCUUCUUCAUUCUGCACAGCACCCAAUUUUGAUAGCGUUAGUUUCAAGCACUCUCAAAAGCAAAAUCAUAAGGCCAUUCAAACAAGACUUUUUCUGUGCAAGCAAGACUCAGUUGAGUUUGAUGAGAGGAAGAGCCCAAAUGAGGUUAGAGAAGAGAUCAAACGAUGUUACGAACUCAUAAACAGAUUGGGUAGAGGAGUUGUGUAUUUGGGAUCUUCAAGGAUGGGGCCUGGCCAUCCCCAUUAUGUGCAAGCACAGGAGCUGUCUAAAGAGGCAAGUAAUUCAUACUGUAACUUCCUGCCUGCUUCUUGCUUGCUUUCUGUGAAUAAUAUAGCAAAUCUUUUGGAUUGCACUUCAUGGUCAGGGGCUGGACCAGGGUUAAUGGACGCAGUUACUCAAGGUGCUCUGCAAGCAGGAAAACCAGUUGGCGGAUUCAAGAUUGGAAAAGAAGCUGGGGAAUGGACUGCAUCCAACUACCAUCCAUACUUGCCAUCAGAAAAUUACCUCACUUGCAGGUUUUUCUCUGCAAGGAAACAUGGGCUGGUGGAUGUUGUAGUAAGGAAUAAUUCACUCGAUAAGACUGCUGUUGUUGCUCUUCCCGGUGGGAUUGGUACUCUUGAUGAGGUGUUUGAGAUAAUGGCGUUGAUUCAGCUCGAACGGAUUGGAUCAGAGCUUCCUAUUCCGUUCAUUUUGAUGAAUUAUGAUUCAUUUUAUUCGAAGCUGCUUGACUUUCUUGAUGUUUGUGAGGAUUGGGGCACGGUUUCUAAGGGAGAAGUUUCAUCAUUAUGGAAGGUUUGUAACAGCAACCCUGAGGCUUUGGCUUACCUGGUGGAUUUCUACGGCUUUUCUUCCAGCAACAAAAGUAGUAAUUUAACGAAAUUGCAUAGCACAGUUGAAUCAUCCUCCACAUAGCACCUUUUUCCCCCUUUUCUUCCUUUAAGUGAUUCCUUCCUUCUUCUCAACAUAGCUCGAUCAUGAAAACAUUCUGAAUAGAAGAGGCGAAUGCAGAGGCCUUCCACUUGCAUGAGAUACCUGUACGUGGAGAACAAGAGAAAGGUUCAGAGGAGAAGAAUUUAGAGAAGAUCUAAGAAGGAAAGUAGGUAACACAAUCUAUCAGAAGGGAAGGAGCCCACUCCACUCAUUAGUUAAUCUUUUAACCUUCUACCUUCUAGUGUCCACUCUCUCAUGCUUCUCCUUGGCUUCUGAAUUGGUGGAUUGGUUGCCACCUGUCCAUUCCCACCAGCUAACUCUUCCUCAUUUGUUAGCGGAUUUAAUUUGCGAGUUAAUUUCAGCAUGAUUCCCAUUAACUUCUUUGGUUCUAUUUUUCUUCCUUACAGUUUGUUUUUGGACUCCAAAUGUCCAAGUUGUUAUUUUGGGAGAAAUAGACAUUUUUAGUUAGUCAACUUUAGGGUUUACAUUUAUAAUUUAGGAUUUAGAGUUUAGAGUUUAUAAUUUAGAAUACAGAAUUUAAAAUAAACAAAAUAAUUUUAAAAGAAUUGACUGAUGUUGGCUGAAAAAAGUUGGUUUCCUAACAUUACUCUUUGAAUUGCUAUUUGGACCAGAGUAACAAAAUGUUUACAAAUUGUGGUUUUUGUUUUCUUUUUCCUUUUUUUUUUUGGAAGUAAUUAAGCAAAGGAAGAGAAUCACUGUGCCUUGUUAAAAAAAUUACUGCACCUUGUUAAGGCUCUUGGAAAAUCAUUAACAUGGUCAAUGUAUGGCUUUCCUCCAUGUGUCAGUGUCAAUGUAUGAUACAUGGGUCGUAUGUAGCCAGCCUAGCUAUCAAACAUUAGGGGCAUUAUAUAUAUACACAGU
Arachis duranensis is the source of this 2008-nucleotide RNA transcript. It is a transcript of the gene named probable cytokinin riboside 5'-monophosphate phosphoribohydrolase LOGL5, with no coding region annotated. The transcript has 5 exons. NCBI's taxonomy places the organism in Eukaryota, Viridiplantae, Streptophyta, Magnoliopsida, Fabales, Fabaceae. The record is from RefSeq and is a predicted model, not a curated record.